This 1242-nucleotide ribosomal RNA is filed under the name metagenome. RNAcentral's name for it is "bacterial SSU rRNA". It matches the Rfam family "Bacterial small subunit ribosomal RNA", at positions 253 to 1520 of the family's 1533-position model. The record is from RNAcentral.
UGAGGUAAUGGCCCACCAAGGCAACGAUCGGUAGCCGGACUGAGAGGUUGAACGGCCACAUUGGGACUGAGACACGGCCCAGACUCCUACGGGAGGCAGCAGUGGGGAAUAUUGCACAAUGGGGGAAACCCUGAUGCAGCGACGCCGCGUGGAGGAAGAAGGUCUUCGGAUUGUAAACUCCUGUUGUUGAGGAAGAUAAUGACGGUACUCAACAAGGAAGUGACGGCUAACUACGUGCCAGCAGCCGCGGUAAAACGUAGGUCACAAGCGUUGUCCGGAAUUACUGGGUGUAAAGGGAGCGCAGGCGGGAAGACAAGUUGGAAGUGAAAUCUAUGGGCUCAACCCAUAAACUGCUUUCAAAGCUGUUUUUCUUGAGUAGUGCAGAGGUAGGCGGAAUUCCCGGUGUAGCGGUGGAAUGCGUAGAUAUCGGGAGGAACACCAGUGGCGAAGGCGGCCUACUGGGCACCAACUGACGCUGAGGCUCGAAAGUGUGGGUAGCAAACAGGAUUAGAUACCCUGGUAGUCCACACCGUAAACGAUGAUUACUAGGUGUUGGAGGAUUGACCCCUUCAGUGCCGCAGUUAACACAAUAAGUAAUCCACCUGGGGAGUACGACCGCAAGGUUGAAACUCAAAGGAAUUGACGGGGGCCCGCACAAGCAGUGGAGUAUGUGGUUUAAUUCGACGCAACGCGAAGAACCUUACCAAGUCUUGACAUCCUGCGACGGACAUAGAAAUAUGUCUUUCCUUCGGGACGCAGAGACAGGUGGUGCAUGGUUGUCGUCAGCUCGUGUCGUGAGAUGUUGGGUUAAGUCCCGCAACGAGCGCAACCCUUACUGUCAGUUACUACGCAAGAGGACUCUGGCAGGACUGCCGUUGACAAAACGGAGGAAGGUGGGGAUGACGUCAAAUCAUCAUGCCCUUUAUGACUUGGGCUACACACGUACUACAAUGGCGUUAAACAAAGAGAAGCAAGACCGCGAGGUGGAGCAAAACUCAGAAACAACGUCCCAGUUCGGACUGCAGGCUGCAACUCGCCUGCACGAAGUCGGAAUUGCUAGUAAUCGUGGAUCAGCAUGCCACGGUGAAUACGUUCCCGGGCCUUGUACACACCGCCCGUCACACCAUGAGAGCCGGGGGGACCCGAAGUCGGUAGUCUAACCGCAAGGAGGACGCCGCCGAAGGUAAAACUGGUGAUUGGGGUGAAGUCGUAACAAGGUAACCGUACUAGUACGUGGGGAUG